GCUUUCAUGGAACUAUAAUGUAUUUUAAUCUUCUCAUCUGAAAUCAUGAGUGGUUCUGUGUAACUGGAAGUUCAUGAUUUCACUACAUGAGGAAUUCAUAGAAGCAGGACCAUUUUAUCCUCAGUUCAGGUGCACACUCAAAGACUAACCUGCUAUGCCUAGAUUAUUCACAGUGUAAGUAUUACACUACUGAACUUCCGGCAGUGAGUAAAAUAGAUGUAAGGCUGUAUUAAUUCAAAUUGUCCCUGUUUUUAUAGGAUUGCACCUACACUUUAACAUUAACUCUAGUUUUAGUAUUUAAUUGACAUAAAUACAAAUAAACCAUGUACGAUUUGUUUUUAAUGGAUUUGCAGCAUGCAUACAUAUUAGAUACCAUAAGGUAUUUUCAUUUCACAUUAAUCAUAUGAGGAUAAUGUACUCGACAAUAAAACAUAUUUCUGACAGGUUUGUACAAUUUUUUCAGCCCAGAUCUCCUUUUUCCUAGAAUUGUUCUCUAACUUAUUUAUGUUUCAACACUUUCCUAAGACAUCUCUCCAAUUGUAAGAUUGUUAAAUACAUUGCUACAAUCCAGGUUACUACUCUAAGUGCCUUCAUGUCUGAAUCAAAUAUUAAGCUACAUUUAGGGCAAUUUAUAUUCCCAGAAAGCUAUAUAAAAUCUUUCAUUUUCUAUUCAUACUAACACUCUAAGAGUCUUGCAUUUUAUGCCAUUUAAAUGAGAAACACAAAACGAAAUCUACUCACUAAAAUCAUGUAGACUCUGUGCACACCUAUGUAAGACAAGCACCUCACUGUCAAAAAGCAGUUAUCUAAUUCUGACAGGUAUUUUCCUCCCAGUAAACUUGUAUGUAUUUCACAGGAACUAAUUAGAAAUGGACUCGCUGAAGCAUAUUUCGAAGUAAAAUCCACAAUUCCAAGGUGUUUCCACCUCAUCUACCUGCUAUCCAGCCUGUGGCUAUUCGUUACUUUUGAUUAUUGCUGCCUCUGUGGUUCUAUGAAUAGGUGUGGAUACUCAGCUUGGUGAGAACUCUGUGCAUCCUUCACAGAGGCGUGCUGAUUUAGGACAACCACUUAAAUCAGGGUAUCUGUUGAGUAUAAAGGUAUAACAUGAAAUAUAUUUGUUCUCUUCUUCAAGGCACCCUUGUUUGUAAACAGUUUACUGCUGCCUGUACAAUUGUGAUUUUCAUUUGAGCCUUUUGUUCUAUACUCGUAUUGUGAUCAUUAAACAUCUCAAGCAAUGGGAAGCAUAUGCUGGGAGUGUCACAUUUUGGAUAUGUAAGCAAAUUCACGUGUACUUGAGUAAAAAUAAGUGAGUUAGCUAUCACAACAUUCAGCAACAAAAGAUUGGAUCAGCUCCUAGCCAAGAAAAGCUUACCAUACCACCUGCAAAUUCUCCUCUCACCUGGUGAAAUUCCUUCUCCUGGAUGAUAAGGUUCUUGGCUGUCAUUCUUUUCCAUGCAGCAGGGAAUAUCUUUGAAUGUUUGACUGUCCUUUAACUUAACAGAGAUAUUGACAACAUUUAAUUAUUUUAAUUAGGGAGAUGAUCCUGCCUAUGACUCCAGACCUCCAGAAGUUGUGCUAUCAUCAUAGCUCUGCAAAGAUUACUGAAUUUCAGUAUUUACCUGUUGUCACACUAAUGCCUCAUACUUAAAAUUUGGGUGCUGAAUAUUCUUAGGUCUUAGGAAUAAGCUUUCCGAUGAUCAUCUCGAAAUACAGCUGGAAUCCCAGAUGCAUGCAUAUCUUUGAAGAUCGAUGACCCAAGUGUUGACCUAAGUACCACCAGAUUCUACUGAUUAGUAAUUAUCAAGAAAUCCUGGCCACACUGACAUCAGUGAGAAAAUUGAAACCCUAUCUUCUGGCCUAGCAUACAUGGAUUGUUUUAGGGUAAUACAGAGGCAUGACAGUUCAGUGUGCCCUCUAGGUUCAUAACAGGCAUCAAAGUGCAAACACUCAGUCUUGUGUUUAAUGUGGAGAAUACUCUCCUGAUUUGUUUCUGUGAAUUUGGAACAUUUUGUAUAGAUCUUUUAAUCCCCAAAGUAUUAACACAGUAGUGAUCACAGAAUCACAUUGUAGAAGUUGGAAGGGAUCUCUGGGGAUCAUCAAGUCCAAGCCCCCUGCUAGAACAGGCUCUCUAGAUUAGGUUGCACAGGAAAACAUCCAGGCGGGUCUUAAAUAUAUCCAUUGAAGAAGACUCCACAACCUAUCUGGGCAGCUUAUUCCAGUUCUCUGUCAUCUUUAAAGUAAAGAAGUUCUGUCUCAUAUUUGUAUGAAACUUCUUGUGUUCCAGUUUUACCUGUUACCCCUUGUCCUUUCACUCUACGCUGUUGUCAAUGAAAGCUCCUCACUGGAUUUCAGAGUAUUCUGCAUUGGCCACUUGGUGAAUGGAACAGGAAAGACAGCAGUCAUGUAUCUCAUUUUGAGGUUAUCCUUUCAUUAGACUUGGAAGGAGGAAGGUGGCAGAACCAAUAGUCAAUCAAUGUCUUCCAUAUCAGGGUCUCUAAAAGUGCAGAAAACUUGUCACAGAGAUUGACUGUCUUUCACAUUUACUGAAAUGCAGUCACAUCGAGCAAAACAAAGAACAAAGAAGUUCCCCAGCUCUCUGAAACAAUCAAUGUUUAUAUAAAUUAGUUUGUGAUCCAUAUUACUCAGCUGUAUCAUUUUUUUUUAUUGAACACAUUAAUGUAAAAUAAAGACCUAAGUGUUCAUUGUACACAGCCUGAAACCUCUUCCAGCAGAGGAGAAAUAAAAAGUAAUUAGAAGAAUAGCUGACUAAAAGGAUUUAAAAUUUUAUUGAGACCCCUGGCUUACAUAAAGCCUACAUUAAAUGUUAUUCAUCUGAAUGUUUCACUCACCUCAUUCCAUUUUUUCUGAUACAAACACAAUAAAUGUAAUAGAUUUUAAGCACGAUUAACCCUAUAUUAUCAUCUGAAAAAAAAGUGCAAAGAGAAGUACAAUACAUAUGGCAGCAAAAUAGGCUAUCGUAAAAUACUGCCCCAGGACAAUACCACACCAAUCUAAGUCAAAUCAGCCAACAGCAAAUAAGAAAGUAUGCUCUGGAUAUUUGAUCUAUCCUUUUCUGAUUAAGAUGGAGGACACUUCAUUCUUAUUUCCACACACUCAUGAAAUGACUCUAAUUUCUGAGUAAAGCAACGAUCUCACAAGAGCCAAGAAAUGAUUGCCUAGGCCUGAAAUAUACAGGUCAAUACACUUUAAAGCUACAUUCUAUAUUACUACAUUAUUUAUUUCUUAAAAUAUUUAAUGUUUCCUUCACUGAUUCGUCAUUAUGUCAGCAAUGUUACCAUAAAAUAAUAUUAUCCAUUACAGACAUGUUAUUUUCUGGUGUGGGUUUUUUGUUUUUUUUUGUUUUUUUCUGUAAGUUUUGCUGACAAACAAGCCUUGAAUGCUGAGGGCUAAGUCACAUCAGUUUUUUCCUUUUAUUAUUGGUUGUAGUGGAGUUUCACCAGUUCAUUAUCAGUUGCUCUGUCAACCCUUACCUUCCCAGUGAGAAAGGGAAAUACAGUGAUGUUUAGUACUUAAAAUUUCUUCUCCAGAGAUUACUUAGUAAUGAACAGUUGUAAAUUCUGCUUCUUCCUAAUGAGGACAGACCUUCACAGUUUAAAACAGCAUACAGUCAGUAUACUGUUCAAAUAAGGUCUAACUUAUAUCCGUAGACUUGUAUUUCACUCUGCAAGAUGAGAUGUUAACCAUGCACUACCCUCUGAAUUUGUACCACUGCAACACACUGCUCUUCUUCCUUACCUUCCACUUGAGAUAUUACGAGCCCGUUAUAGCCAUCAGUCAACUCUCCCAAGAGGCAUGGAAAGCAGAUGUAUUAUUGCUUCUACUUCACAAAGGAAUAACUGAGGAAAAUUGAUUUUCUCAAAGUCCUGAAGUCAGAGAGGCCAUAACAUCAUUAGAACAGUACGCAGAUUUUCCCACAUCUUCCGAUGAUGUUCAAGGAAAGGCAAGAAAAUGGUGCUGAAAAAGUUUUCCUUGCUAGAGAGAGGGACAUUCCUGUGGAUUCAGAAUUUGCAAAGCACACUAGCUCUUAGAAGCAACAUCUGUCUUGGAAUUGUAUUUGUUUUGGUGAAAAAGAGGUCAGGAAUAUCUUGUCCCCAUGCUGAUAAGAAAUCUGCAUCAUUGACUGCAAAUGUUUGUUGACUUUUGCCCUAAUGGUCCCAAUUCUCUCAUUUCAGUUUGAAUCAGCUAUUAUACUGCCAAGAUGGCAGAAUAACAUAUGCUUUACUUGUAAUCAGGGAAAAAAAAAAAGCAAAACAGAAAACCUUGCACAAUGAAGGAUUUUGAAAUGCUAUUUCUCAUUGUCUCUUUCACGCUAUUCCAGAGCCAACAGUAUCACAAAGUCUUAGAAAGCUGAAGAAACAGGGAAAAGUAGGUGCUGUUUUUAAAGGCUUUCUCAGGCACAGUGGUCUAAUUAGACUCAACAGUACAGUCCAGCAAACCUCUCUCACUGAUAAAAAACAUAUGUGGAAAUAGCCUUCUUCAGAAGGACCAGAUUUCCAAGGCAGCCAGAAAUUUGCAAGAAAUCACCUCCAUCUGCCUCUGUACGUCAAUUUACCUAUCCUGUUGUGCAGCAACCAUUCUACAGCAUAGCUCUAGCACAUAGAGGAGAUCUGCAGCAAUUUUUAAUAAAGCUUCUUAAAAGACAGAUGUGGAUUCUGGAAGGAGCUUCUUUCUUUCUGUAUCCCCAUCCUUAUUUUCCUGUCAGUAAGUUUAUACAACAACUUCCUUAAGAGUCCUUGGAGGAAACAGAUUGUUUUCCAUACUCUGGGCUGCAACAAAAUCAGAGCCCUUCAGACUUAUGAGACAUUGUUAAUUGAUGGAGAAGAUUGAUCUCAGUGAGCUGCCCUUUUACAGAUCUGGCCAGAGAGGUUGAAAUGUUAUUGCUCCCUGAUUACUGACUCCAUCCUUGCACUGACAAUUACCAUCCAUUCAGCCAAAUAUCACGAAUAAGCCAGCAACAUACUGCAGUUAUGCCAGACAGCUUUGUCAGCAUGUCUUUUAAUAGCAGUAUUCUAAUAGGAGCUUCAGAUAAUAUUUGCCACUCAUUCCAAUAUCCCAUCACUCUCGCUUUCCUACUUGGAGCCUUAUUUAUGCAUGUUGGUGGUGGCAUAACCUAUAGAUGGGACUUUUUCAGCUUGAAAAUGAGAUACUGUCAUAUAUGUCAGAGAAGAUCAAAUGAAGCUUUCCAAUAUACUGCCCCAGAGGUAUUAACUUCUUAGAGUGGCUCUCCAUUUCCCAAAGGAUUGAAAUAAUCUGCCCAGAAUGCAUGAGCCUAGCAGUCAGUUCCAACUGUUUUCCUCAGGAAAACUGGGGGAGAUCUUGGUAUUAUUUAAUAACUGUAGCUUCUGGCAAAGGUUUAAUAUGCGCAUUUAAGCACUGUAUUUAGCUCCAUUUGUCUGAACACUGGAUUGGAUCUGUAGGGCACUGAAGUACAGCAUAAACAAAUGUGGCCGUUUCCUCUGAGAAAUUCUCACUCCCUCUGGGUCCAACCAUGACUAAGAAUCAUGGUUUUUCACCUUAGGCAGAUUCUCCUUUUCAAAGCUAACAAUUUUAUAGUUGUAAAUAAAGAAACAUAAAUAAUCAGUGGUGCAAGUAAUACAACAGCAAUAGGCCAUUUAAGUAUCAAAAUGACAUCAGAAGGCUGCUUUUUUCUCCACUUGUAGCUCCAGAGGGCUGUAAUUUACUUCAGAAAUUUGGUUACAACCGAUGAGAGUGGAGGUUUCUCGAACAAAGCCAACUGAAUUGUUUUCAAAUAGCAAUCCUAGAUAUUCCACAGACCACACAUGGCAAAGAGAACACUAACAUGAAAGAUGAAAAAUCCAUUAACAACAGGUUUGCUUCUAUGAAGUAAUUUGUCUCUAUGCUUAAUGACUUUAGGUAUGGUAUAAGUUAUGCCUUGGAUUUCAGAAGAGUGUAAUGUCAUGUAGGAAUUCUAUAAUUAAGCUCUUCCUGUGGCAAGAUUACUUAUUUUUUCACUGUGAAUCUUGAAAAAAAAAAACAAUGCUAUUACAUUAAAAUGCCCCCAGGAUAAUUUUAUAUCAUGCCUACAACCUGUAUGACAAAUACAGAAUAAUAUUUUUUGCAUUAAAUGGUAUAACCUAAGUCUAGCAGCAAGAAUAAACUGGAUUCAGAUGGGAACUGGAGUUGUCAGAAACAUCCUGUUCCUCCACAAACAGGCAGAAAACUGAAGUCACCUCUCCCUCCUCUGUGUUCUCCUCUUACAUGUACAUAGAAAUACAGAAGAAGUGCUUCUGAGAGCUGCUUUGGACAGCUAUAAAAAAUCCACUAAACCCACUGGGACUCACAAGUCCAUGCAGCACCACAGAGGUUGGUGAGCAACUGUUGAUCCAAGAGUCUUCUGGACACUUGUCUGUGAAGCAGGAACAACAGUGCAGAACAUAUUUCUAUAUGGCUAGUCAGUAAGUUACAUCAUAAGUCGGCCAAAAUACUCAAGCACAUGCCGUUUGCACACUAAGUAAGUGUGCAAAUAAGUGUGCAAACUAAGUGUGCUGUUUGCCCACUAAGUAAGCUACACUUUGUAGCAGAGCAGUGUUCACAAUCAUGCCGCAGUGGAAUAGACAACAGCGCAAGAUCUGGGCUUAAAAGGCUUCUAGGAUUACAAGGAAAAACACUAGUAUUACAUUUGGUACAUGAAUAAAAACGGAGAAAUAAUUCUGAUAGCAAGAAAUCUGGAGAAAUGUAUGGAUAUUGAUUCAAAGGAAGGAAAGGUGUAGAUCUAUGUCAUUUGUGUAUGUUCCUGCAACAGCUUUCACAUUUGAAAACGACACAAAAAAGCAUAUAAAAAUAUAUAUGCUUAUACCAGCCAGUUCCCGGCAAGCUUAAAUAUAUCGUUAAGCUUCACCUCUUUGUCUUCAGUCUUCAGAAACAGCCUUAAUUAAAAUACAAACUGUUAUUACUUUCAGAGAACAAUAACCUUAUUUACAGUUAUAUUACAGUUAGUUGCAAAUGUGAAGAAAAAAAACAUUUAUUCUUUUUGGCAUGAACUGAAGACAUCUGGAUUAUUUUAUCCUCCUAUCAUUGCCUGGCUCUGAUAUUGUUCAAUACAUGAAUGUGAGUAAAUCGAGAAAAAAAAAAAGGAACAUAAAUCAUUAUUUCCUUCCCUUUUCCCACCCUUUAAUAAGUGAAAUAUCAGGCUUCUUGUUACUAAUUCAUUAGUGAGGUUUUAAGCCUUUGUGGUUACAAGAAUUCCACUAUAGUUUGAGUUUAUGUUGCACUGGUUGAAAAAAAAAUGCAUUUAGAAAGGGUUAACAUGCGGAACACACUAUAAAAAGCAGCAGUAAAAGCUGCAAGUAUGUUCAAAAGGAGACUGAGACUUAAAAGGGGAUAAAAGAUAAAUAAACCACUAUAGAGUAGAAACACAAGCCUAGAGAGGCCUUGAAAGAACUGACCUCCUUUCAUUCCAGAAUAUCAGUAUAGUAUUCUAAUUAAAUUACAUUUUUACCUUAUUAUUCCUAACUCUGGUUAACUGAUUUCAUCCCAAAUGUAUGCUUUAUUGAUUAGCAUUGCUCACAGUUCUCUCUGCUUCUCUUGGCAGUUUAAAUAUUCAGUGCGCUGAUCCUCCAGCUUUAUCAAAGAAUUUUUUCAUGUCUACCCCUCAGCUAAUCUGAAGCCACCUUUUAAAUGCUUAGCCCAGAAGAACAAUCCACAGCCAUAUUAGAUUUGUGAAAGAAACAGCAAAGUACAUUCCCCUUCCCUUCCCUUCCCUUCCCUUCCCUUCCCUUCCCUUCCCUUCCCUUCCCACACAGAGAAGUAACCAGAUUAGGACAAUUUCUACAAUUUGCAUUUUCGCCAAUGGUUGUUACAGAAUUUUCCUAGCAAUGAACUUUUAAAAAAGUAAAGCACAAAUCUGCUCAAGGUUAGGGUUAUGGUUAACCUUAUCCAGUCUAGCCACAAUUGCAGAGAUGCUGCAAUGUUAGUGAGGAGCAAAGCAGCUAGAGUGACUGCUGAAGCAAGCCCAAAAUACUGACAUACUGACUUUAUAACAGAGACAGCAGAUUUCUGUGGGCGAGAGUGUUCAAAAUAAUAAGGAGCAAGAAAAUGACAGCUUCUAGGGUUUGUGAAAAUGUAUGACAAUUUGUGGAUUGGUUUCCAAUUUUCUCCCUUUCCUGUGGAAAAGAAUCUUCAGCUGGGAAUGGAUUUUGAAAAGAAUUUAUGCAUAGGUAUGCUAAGGAAAAUCAGGGAGAUUUAAACAUUUGGCAUCAAGCAGCAUUUUGCCCUAUAUUCAGUACUUUGUUUUGAUUUAAUAAGUAAAUCAUCACAUAAGUGAUUCAGAAGUUUGUGCACUGGACACUAGUUUAGGUCAAAGAAACCGGCAUGCAGAAGUAAGAAGUUCUCUUCCUCAGCAAGUAUUUUUUGGCCUGCAAUACAUGAUUUGAGAAGAAAAACACCAACAAGUGGAAGCUGAGAUGUCUAUCUCUGAUUUUUCAAGAUGUUUGGGCAUGUGAAUUUUAUUUCAAUUAAAAUGAAACUCUCAGAGAUGCUCUCUCACUUUAUAAUAGCUGUCUACCUCAUUCCUAGUUUAUUAAACACAAGGUUUGUUUAGUUUGUAAAUCACACUAACAGAGUAAAAUUGGCACAUAGUAAUUAGCAUCAAAUUACCAAACAGUAAAAUUUCAAGGAACUCAGCCAAGGCUAGGCAGAGGUUGUAUGUAACUCACUGCAAGUUACAAGGAGCUUAGAAGAAAAAAUACAGCAGGCAAGGAAACAAUAUUCUGAAGACCAAAAGCUGUCAUAGUGAUUUGAGAGAAAAUACUGAAAAAAAAAUCAGAAAAGAAAAAUUGGGGGGUUAAUGACAAAAAUUUCACAAUUGUGAGCCCAACAGAAAUUAUUUUCCUAUUAUAUUCUGGGCAGGGAGAAAUGAAACACCUGAAAAUUAAAAGGAGUAAAUGGAGAGUAUAACAUAAACCUGGUAGGAAGAAAAGGAGCCCCCAGAAUCCUUGAGCGAUCAAAAGCUUUUCUACUUUGAAAACUUUUUCAAGAUAAAAAAAAAAAAAAAAAACAUCUUUUAAGUACUUUAUCACUUUUAGACAUUUAUCUUGAUCAAAAAACAGGCAAGAGGAGAUUCCAGAGAAAGAUUUUUGCAAAUAAACAGAAAACAACAUGAGUGCUUGCAUACCCAUAGCAGUGUGCUUGUAGCAGUCAAGAUUUUAGAUUUGCAAAGUGUUUGGGAAAUUUUUCUGAUCCAAUAACCCAUGAAAUAAUAAAGGGAGAGGAUCCUCAUAUAUAUUCAUUUUCAGUUUAUCCUCCUAAUUCUAAUAUUUUUUAUCUUAACAUUGGGAGGCUCUCCAGAGCUGCAGUCACUUAUUGCUAGGAAUGAGCAAUCAAACUCUGUUUAUAAAGGUAACUUAAAAGUUACCCCAACAACUGUCAAACAGUUUUGGACUUCAGAAGAUGCAGUUAUUUCAUGUCUGGUGGGGAUUUGAUAUGUUUAUUCAAACUUUUCACUUGUUUAUUCAAACAUUUCUCUGAGACCUAAAACUAACAUCCCAGCACUCUGCAAAAAUGCCUAUUAUGCUAGUAUUUCUGAUUCAUCCAUAGCCAAGAAUUACUAGAAAUCUGAUUUAUAAAAAAACGAAACAGACAAAAAACAAAAAAAACAAACAAAAAAAAAAACUUUUUUUUUUUCUCCCAUUCUGUCCCACCUACCUUUUUCAGUUGUUUGGAGAACAUCCAAGAGAUAAGGCAAUGGCCUGGAAGUACACAGUCACAACAGCCACAAACUAUGCAUUGCUAGUACUUUUUACAGUUUAGUUCUGUUCUCAAUUUUUAAAAGAACUCAUUUGUUUUGUUAAUGGUUUGCUGUAGGCAGUAACAUAAAGGGCACCACUAUUGCUCAGAAAGCAGCAGUUUUUCCUAGUAACACAUGUUACAAGAGAUCUACCUGUAAAAGUCACAGUAAAAAACACAGGUAAAUAGGAAUAACUGAAAGCAAAUACCUGCAUACUAAGGGAGAAAUUAAUCAUCUAACUAUGUGUAAAGCAGAAAACUACAUAUUAAUAUUUUAACUUCAUAUUUUGCUAGGCAGAAACAGGAUUUGUACAUGUAAAUAUAUAUUUCAGGAAAAACUAGCAUUAUGGACAUAGACUCCCAUUCAAAAUUCAAUGCCUACUUUAAGUAAAUGUAGAAUGAUCUCCUAUGAUAAUCAAAAACAUGAAUUUUUGCACCAUUCUGAGCUGGCAUUCUCACACUUGGAAUUACUUUAGUUGAUAUUUGUAUUAUUGAUGGUGACAUGUCAGUUCUUCACAUUUGAAUCAAGUAUGGCUUCUGUCAAAGGAAGUCUAUGGCACAGGUCUAGAUUUUAGCAAACGCUGCAAUGAACCAUAGAGUUAUGUGCCCUUCAGUUUUGAGUUUAACUUCUAAUCAAAAGCUGAAGAGGUAUGACUGUCCCUGGGACUUGAAUCCAAACCACAAGAUUCCAGUGUAUUUUGACUGAAGAUUUUACUGACAAAUAUCACGGACACACUCGGGCUCCACAGAUGGGUGAAAACUAGAGAUGGACAGAAUGAAGUGUCAGUACAAAUUAUUGAGCAACAAGUAAUGUUUAGUAACAUAUAAAGCAUUUAUCUGUGACUCACUGUAUUUAUACUUUUUAAUUUUCAUCUCAAAUAUACAUAUGCAUUUUGAAAUUUUCUCUUUGUUUACAGUUUUCUUUACCAAAUGAAAACUUUAAAAAAUAAAACCAUCUCUUUUUUAAAAA
This is a long non-coding RNA of Numida meleagris (helmeted guineafowl), 10735 nucleotides long. RefSeq lists it as uncharacterized. The transcript is spliced from 2 exons. NCBI's taxonomy places the organism in Eukaryota, Metazoa, Chordata, Aves, Galliformes, Numididae. The record is from RefSeq and is a predicted model, not a curated record.